Molecule: ribosomal RNA, 451 nt
Filed under: uncultured bacterium
Lineage: Bacteria
Description: bacterial SSU rRNA
Rfam family: Bacterial small subunit ribosomal RNA
Source: RNAcentral
UUGCCAGACUCCUACGGGAGGCAGCAGUGGGGAAUAUUGGGCAAUGGGCGCAAGCCUGACCCAGCAACGCCGCGUGAAGGAAGAAGGCUUUCGGGUUGUAAACUUCUUUUCUCAGGGACGAAGCAAGUGACGGUACCUGAGGAAUAAGCCACGGCUAACUACGUGCCAGCAGCCGCGGUAAUACGUAUGGUGCAAGCGUUAUCCGGAUUUACUGGGUGUAAAGGGAGCGCAGGCGGCACGGCAAGCCUGAUGUGAAAGCCCGCGGCCCAACCGCGGGACUGCAUUGGGAACUACCGGGCUGGAGUGCCGGAGAGGUAGGCGGAAUUCCUAGUGUAGCGGUGAAAUGCGUAGAUAUUAGGAGGAACACCAGUGGCGAAGGCGGCCUGCUGGGCUUUUACUGACGCUGAGGCUCGAAAGUGUGGGGAGCAAACAGGAUUAGAUACCCGUGUAU